AAAUUGAAGAGUUUGAUCAUGGCUCAGAUUGAACGCUGGCGGCAGGCCUAACACAUGCAAGUCGAACGGUAACAGGAAGAAGCUUGCUUCUUUGCUGACGAGUGGCGGACGGGUGAGUAAUGUCUGGGAAACUGCCUGAUGGAGGGGGAUAACUACUGGAAACGGUAGCUAAUACCGCAUAACGUCGCAAGACCAAAGAGGGGGACCUUCGGGCCUCUUGCCAUCGGAUGUGCCCAGAUGGGAUUAGCUAGUAGGUGGGGUAAAGGCUCACCUAGGCGACGAUCCCUAGCUGGUCUGAGAGGAUGACCAGCCACACUGGAACUGAGACACGGUCCAGACUCCUACGGGAGGCAGCAGUGGGGAAUAUUGCACAAUGGGCGCAAGCCUGAUGCAGC
RNAcentral lists this ribosomal RNA (395 nucleotides) under Escherichia coli. RNAcentral describes it as "bacterial SSU rRNA". It matches the Rfam family "Bacterial small subunit ribosomal RNA", at positions 1 to 392 of the family's 1533-position model. The record is from RNAcentral. Lineage: Bacteria; Pseudomonadati; Pseudomonadota; Gammaproteobacteria; Enterobacterales; Enterobacteriaceae.